RNAcentral lists this ribosomal RNA (272 nucleotides) under uncultured bacterium. Its description in RNAcentral is "partial small subunit ribosomal RNA". It matches the Rfam family "Bacterial small subunit ribosomal RNA", at positions 26 to 285 of the family's 1533-position model. The record is from RNAcentral.
AGAAUCAACGCUGGCGGCGUGCCUAACACAUGCAAGUCGAACGCGAAAGUCCCGCAAGGGAUAAGUAGAGUGGCAAACGGGUGAGUAACACGUGGGUGACCUGCCUUCGAGCGGGGGAUAACGUCCCGAAAGGGACGCUAAUACCGCAUAAUAUGCCGCCUUUUAACAGGUGGACAUCAAAGCUGGGGAUCGCAAGACCUAGCACUUGAAGAGGGGCCCGCGUCUGAUUAGCUAGUUGGUGGGGUAAUGGCUCACCAAGGCAACGAUCAGUA